Molecule: ribosomal RNA, 468 nt
Filed under: uncultured bacterium
Lineage: Bacteria
Description: partial 16S ribosomal RNA
Rfam family: Bacterial small subunit ribosomal RNA
Source: RNAcentral
GACGAACGCUGGCGGCGUGCUUAACACAUGCAAGUCGAACGGAAAGGCCCUGCUUUUGUGGGGUGCUCGAGUGGCGAACGGGUGAGUAACACGUGAGUAACCUGCCCUUGACUUUGGGAUAACUUCAGGAAACUGGGGCUAAUACCGGAUAGGAGCUCCUGCUGCAUGGUGGGGGUUGGAAAGUUUCGGCGGUUGGGGAUGGACUCGCGGCUUAUCAGCUUGUUGGUGGGGUAGUGGCUUACCAAGGCUUUGACGGGUAGCCGGCCUGAGAGGGUGACCGGCCAAAUUGGGAGUGAGAUACGGCCCAGACUCCUACGGGAGGCAGCAGUGGGGAAUAUUGCACAAUGGGCGGAAGCCUGAUGCAGCAACGCCGCGUGCGGGAUGACGGCCUUCGGGUUGUAAACCGCUUUCGCCUGUGACGAAGCGUGAGUGACGGUAAUGGGUAAAGAAGCACCGGCUAACUACGUG